This 1166-nucleotide unclassified non-coding RNA is filed under the name Hevea brasiliensis (rubber tree). The record is from RNAcentral. Lineage: Eukaryota; Viridiplantae; Streptophyta; Magnoliopsida; Malpighiales; Euphorbiaceae.
UGCCACAUUUUCGAGUUUGUCGCACAUGUGCUGAUGUUUAGCCUCUGGUUAGGUGUUAAUGUGGUUUGGAAUUAUAUUUUAUUUAAGGAUUGGUGCUUUGUGAUGCUUAAUCCGGGUGGUUGUGCUUCGAAAAUUCUUUUCUUUUUAUUGGAUGUUAUUUACAAGGAAAGGCAGGUUUGUUUCUUUGUGAAGUCUUACACAGAUAUGGAUAUACCAGUUUUAUUGCAUAACUGAACUGAUAAAAGAUUUGUUAAUGCUUCUUUAAGUUAUACCUAUAAAAUUUGUGCGGGCAUGCAUUGUCUAAUGAACUCAGGCAAGGCAGUGAUUGAUUUGUAUUAUCUUAAUUGGAUUCUGCUGCAUCGGAGAAACUCUAUGAAGGCUCCCUUGUUAGCCUAGCUGAGUCUGAAUUUUAAGGCAUUCGCUGUUUCCAGGCUCAGUCAUACCAGAUUUUUUAGUUGCAUCCAGGGAAAUUAGUGGAUUUAGGUUUUGAAGAUUGAAAAUGUAUGUUAGACAGCAGAGUUGCACAAGGCGCCAUGCUGUUGUUUGUGAGGAAAAUCAGUUUCUAUCUCUGUAAUUAUUUUGGAGGACUUGAAAAGCUUUGGAUGAAUAGCAGGGUAUUGCAUUUUCUUCUUUAUUUUGGAUUGUGAAGUCCUGCCAUGUGGGCAGGGUUUUAAUUAAUGGAAUUGGAAAUGGUUUCAGAAACAAAAACAGUGAAAUGAAAAUGGGAUGAAUCAGGCUGAAAGUGAAUGAAUCAUCUGCCGAUUCCAGGAAUAUUUUUAAGCGUUAGCAAAAUGACCAAAAUGAAAAGUAAAUAAAUAACUCAACCGAGUAUACUAGAUUCUCCAGCUUUGGUCGUAUGAAACGGUGAAACAUCCUGUAUCAUCCCAACUUGCCCAUAUCACCCGUUUCAAAUGCACUUAACUGUGAAUUGUGAAUCACCAUAGAUGAAACGGUAAAUAAUGGAUCUUUGUCUUGAAAUUCUGAUAUGUAGCAGGCAUAUCAUAAUUUAAAAUCAUACAUGUGGGCAUAAAGAGCAACCCUCUAAAUAGUUUUAAAAAAAAAUUUGUAAUUAUCCUCAGGGUUUUUUUCUACUCUGUUAUGAGAACAAUAAGAAAAUUUUCUCAUGUUCUUAUUAUUCUAAAAAAUGAGGGUAUCUAUUAGGUACA